UACAGAGGGUGCGAGCGUUAAUCGGAAUUACUGGGCGUAAAGCGUGCGUAGACGGUUAUUUAAGUCGGGUGUGAAAGCCCCGGGCUCAACCUGGGAAUUGCAUUCGAGACUGAAUAGCUAGGGUACGGUAGAGGGAAGUGGAAUUUCCGGUGUAGCGGUGAAAUGCGUAGAUAUCGGAAGGAACAUCAGUGACGAAAGCGACUUCCUGGACCAGUACCGACGUUCAGGCACGAAAGCGUGGGGAGCAAACAGG
Molecule: ribosomal RNA, 253 nt
Filed under: uncultured bacterium
Lineage: Bacteria
Description: partial 16S ribosomal RNA
Rfam family: Bacterial small subunit ribosomal RNA
Source: RNAcentral